RNAcentral lists this ribosomal RNA (398 nucleotides) under uncultured bacterium. Its description in RNAcentral is "bacterial SSU rRNA". It matches the Rfam family "Bacterial small subunit ribosomal RNA", at positions 358 to 773 of the family's 1533-position model. The record is from RNAcentral.
GGAAUAUUGGACAAUGGGCGAAAGCCUGAUCCAGCAAUGCCGCGUGAGUGAUGAAGGCCUUAGGGUUGUAAAGCUCUUUUACCCGGGAUGAUAAUGACAGUACCGGGAGAAUAAGCUCCGGCUAACUCCGUGCCAGCAGCCGCGGUAAUACGGAGGGAGCUAGCGUUAUUCGGAAUUACUGGGCGUAAAGCGCACGUAGGCGGUUACUCAAGUCAGAGGUGAAAGCCUGGAGCUCAACUCCAGAACUGCCUUUGAAACUAGGUGACUUGAAUCCAGGAGAGGUGAGUGGAAUUCCGAGUGUAGAGGUGAAAUUCGUAGAUAUUCGGAAGAACACCAGUGGCGAAGGCGGCUCACUGGACUGGUAUUGACGCUGAGGUGCGAAAGCGUGGGGAGCAAAC